GGAAGGUGGGGAUGACGUCAAAUCAUCAUGCCCCUUAUGUCCUGGGCUACACACGUGCUACAAUGGCUGGUACAAAGAGUUGCAAUCCUGUGAAGGGGAGCUAAUCUCAAAAAACCAGUCUCAGUUCAGAUUGAAGUCUGCAACUCGACUUCAUGAAGCCGGAAUCACUAGUAAUCGCGAAUCAGCUAUGUCGCGGUGAAUACGUUCUCGGGUCUUGUACACACCGCCCGUCACACCAUGAGAGUUGGUAAUACC
This 255-nucleotide ribosomal RNA is filed under the name Mycoplasma mycoides. RNAcentral's name for it is "partial 16S ribosomal RNA". It matches the Rfam family "Bacterial small subunit ribosomal RNA", at positions 1168 to 1421 of the family's 1533-position model. Lineage: Bacteria; Bacillati; Mycoplasmatota; Mollicutes; Mycoplasmatales; Mycoplasmataceae. The record is from RNAcentral.